UACGUAGGGCGCAAGCGUUGUCCGGAAUUAUUGGGCGUAAAGAGCUCGUAGGUGGUUUGUCGCGUCUGCCGUGAAAGCCCGGGGCUUAACUCCGGGUCUGCGGUGGAUACGGGCAGACUAGAGGCAGGUAGGGGAGAACGGAAUUCCUGGUGUAGCGGUGAAAUGCGCAGAUAUCGGGAAGAACACCCGUGGCGAAGGCGGCUCUCUGGGACGGUACUGACGCUGAGACGCGAAAGCGUGGGGAGCGAACAGG
This 253-nucleotide ribosomal RNA is filed under the name uncultured bacterium. RNAcentral's name for it is "partial 16S ribosomal RNA". It matches the Rfam family "Bacterial small subunit ribosomal RNA", at positions 524 to 776 of the family's 1533-position model. The record is from RNAcentral.